RNAcentral lists this ribosomal RNA (376 nucleotides) under uncultured bacterium. RNAcentral describes it as "bacterial SSU rRNA". It matches the Rfam family "Bacterial small subunit ribosomal RNA", at positions 521 to 895 of the family's 1533-position model. The record is from RNAcentral.
UAAUACAGAGGUCUCAAGCGUUGUUCGGAUUCAUUGGGCGUAAAGGGUGCGUAGGCGGCGCGGUAAGUCGGGUGUGAAAUCUCGGAGCUUAACUCCGAAACUGCAUUCGAUACUGCCGUGCUUGAGGACUGGAGAGGAGACUGGAAUUUACGGUGUAGCGGUGAAAUGCGUAGAUAUCGUAAGGAAGACCAGUGGCGAAGGCGGGUCUCUGGACAGUUCCUGACGCUGAGGCACGAAGGUCAGGGGAGCAAACGGGAUUAGAUACCCCGGUAGUCCUGACAGUAAACGGUGCACGUUUGGUGUGGGAGGAUUCGACCCCUUCUGCGCCGGAGCUAACGCGUUAAACGUGCCGCCUGGGGAGUACGGUCGCAAGAUU